CCUCCUCGUGCAAUAAAGGAGAUCAGUUAGUCCGGGCGCGCCUUCUUCUUGAUGAGAGCCUGUCUCUGGGAAAGGGAUUGAGCUUCAAGGAAUACAUAAAAGAAAGUAGUAAAAAACACAACCCAGCCCCGUGCAGUGCCGCCACGUCCCCAGUGACUGGCAGGACCCUCGCCCAGAAGCAGCCUCCGGUGUCCAAGCUCGGAUCUCAAGGAGAGGGUUUGUGAGUGAGGCCAUCUGCUGGAUUCCAGUGGCGGGCACAGUGAUCAAGGACUCAUGGACAAGGCAGCAUAAGAAGAACCACGGCCCCCUCCCCCCAGUCCCAUGACGGGGCGGAGUAAGAAUCCUGGAGCUGGAUUCUUGGCGGACCCUGACGGUUCUUUGCUGAGAGGUUGCCAGGAGACCUGUGGGGAUAUUGGGAAAGCCCAGGGUUCUGUGGCCAAGGCCUGAGAAGAGAAAGGAGGACAGUAGCAAUGUGAAG
Molecule: non-coding RNA, 478 nt
Organism: Odocoileus virginianus texanus
Lineage: Eukaryota; Metazoa; Chordata; Mammalia; Artiodactyla; Cervidae
Source: RefSeq, a predicted model, not a curated record